Molecule: non-coding RNA, 1889 nt
Organism: Meleagris gallopavo (turkey)
Lineage: Eukaryota; Metazoa; Chordata; Aves; Galliformes; Phasianidae
Source: RefSeq, a predicted model, not a curated record
UUGGGUGGAAUUAAACUGAAUAUGUACUCUGCGCCUCAUAGAAUCAUAGAACAGUAUGAGUUGGAAGGGACCUUAAAAACCAGUUAGCACCAAUUCCCUGCUGUGGGUAGGGAUGCCUAUCUCUGCAUCAGGUAGGACAAAACAUCAGGACAUGAAGUGGGAUCAUAAGAGGGACAAAACGGUGGUGAGUGCUGUUUUGGGGAAAUAAAGUACGCACUGAGCAGUUAGGGGAUGACUUAGCCCUAGAAGUGUUUUCUUCUAAGCCUUUCUUUCUGCUAACAAUUCCCCUGGCAGUCGCUUGGGCAUUUGCAGUGCAGGCGAGGUGGCACUGCUGAUGAAAUCUGCGAUGUGCAGACUUCAGCUUGCAACAACACCACACUGUUUCAACAUCGAUGAGAAAUACUUAAGCUGACAUUCACAGAUAAUUGACUGUAGGAAGCCCACCAGUUUUUCAGAUCCACGAUUUAUUUUUUUUUCUUGUUCAACUGCUCUAAAUGCAGUGUGCAUUUCUACGUAGUGUGGUAGCAUCACUCUGCACCCCUGGGACAGCAAUGGAGGGAAAGUUUUGAGGAUCUGAGCAUCUCUUCCAUCAGACACGGCCUUGUCUCACCUUGAAUCAUGCCUCUACCACCAGCAGCUCCUGCUAUGUGUGUUGGAAGAGCUAAGCCCUUGAUACAUCUAACUUAUGGAGCUGGGGUUUAUUAAAGCACCAGGUACUAUGGUUGUUACAGUGAGCUACCAGAAAUGAUGGGGUGGCUGACUAGUGUGAACGAGCAAAUGUCCAUGGCGUUACUUUGGAGGUCAUGUAAAAAUAAAGAGACAGAGCCUGUGCCACAGCUUUCAGUACUGUGUGCGUACUGCAGGGAGUGAGGGUGGCUGCAGGAGCUGAUCUGAUGCAGCCCAGUCAGCGAGGGACAAAAACAAAGGAAGAUGGGCAAUGAAUCUGCCAGUGGCCGUGUCCUGUGCAGCAUACAGACAUCGAGAUGGUUUGGAAUCCCUCCCUCCAAACUCCAGUGGAGGCUGAGAAAAUUGAUUAAGCCUCCACAGACAGCAGUGUCUUUCUGAAUUAAAGCAAUGUGUCUGAAUGUCUCAUUAACACGGCAUGGCAGAGGACAGUGAUAUCUGUAUCCAAACCACUGAGUUGUACCACAACAUGCCCGCUAUCUCAGGGAGAGGUGAGGGAAGCAGAGAGGAGCAGCAGCUCAAUGCAUGGGCAUGUUUUAUCACCUCUUCUCUACCCUUCCCCAGUGAGCACAGAUACUCCUGACUGCUCUUCGUUGUCUGUUUAAAUCACAUCAAUUUAAAAGGGUUAUAAGAGGCUGCAUUUAAUCAAAGCAUUUGUUACAUCCACGUCUCCUUUCCCAGAUGUAUCCAGAGAAUUAUCUCAUUGGAGACCCGUUUCCCCUUGAGGACCCAAGGGGAAUAUCCACUUAACAAUUAAGAACAAUUGGAGCUAAGAGGAUGCUGGAUGUCACCUCCUUGGAGCAGCCCAGCCCUGCCAUCACCAUCUGCCCGCCCUGCAGGGCUGAGCUCCCACAGCAGAGGAAUGCAAACAGGAGGAAUUUCAGAGGCGUGAUGGAGACCUUGGCACACCCAAAGCCAUUACAGCACACUGGGGCUUCCUGGAGAUGUCAGGAUAACAGCAGUUGCGUGUUGGUACAGUGUGAGCCACGGCUGAGACCUUUCAGAUCCCACUGCCAUCAAUGGAAGCUGCACUUCCAGAGCCUCUGAACCGCGGCGACAAUAAAACCCAUGUGCAUGAAACCACCCACAAUUCAAAACAAGUGCUCUACAGAGGGCAGCAGGACAGGGCAGGCACACAGGUAAACACAGCCCGCCAAGAAACAGCGCGCCAACCCAGCGCGGCCCCGCGGCCGUUGCGCCCCCUG